GGGCGGCCACCGGGCGUCGCGGCCGCCUGCGGCAUCAGCAUUCCGGCGGCGCCGGCGGCCGCUGUCCUCGCGCGACCCCAGCCCGUCCAGAGCGCGCCCCGGCACCAACCCUCGGGGCGAGGCGAGCGCAGCCCCCGCGGGCCAGCAAGGCGUGCUGAUGGACCAGACCUGCGGGAGCUAACUCGACAGGCCUCCAGCUGCCAGAGAUUUGAGAUGCGACAGAGGAACACAGUCUCUGACCCCAGCAAUCAGCCUGGGCUUGGGACCAGCUCUGGCCAAAGGGCUCUGAGAGGAAGAGAUGUGACUCGCUCCUAGACUACAGCCAUUGACACCACCAGACUCGGCAGUGCCAUCUCUCUCCUGUGGCACGUGUGGAGGCCGAGCCUGAAAAUGGUAACCUGGACCCACGCUGCUCCAGUGGAGGCAUUCCCCUGGAGAGUUACUCAGGUCCCCAGCAAACUUUGCAGGAGCCGUAAAAGCAAGAAAUAAAGCCUAUGUUGGGUUUAGCCAGUAAGAGGGCGCCUUCGUUACUGCAACGGAACUUAGGCUGUAUGACAUCACAUGUUCUCACUCACAUGUGAGAGCUAAAAAAAGUGGAUUUCAUGGAGAGUGGAAUGGUAGUUACUAGAGCUGGGAAGGGCAGGAGGGAGGAAGAGAAGUUGGCCAAUGGCUACAAAAUACAGUUAGAUGGAAGGAGUAAGUUCUAGUAUUCAAUAGUCUAGUGUGGAGACUAUAGCUAACAAGUUAUUGUAUAUUUCAAGAUAGCUAGAUAAGAAGAACUGGAAUGUUCCCAACACAAAGAAAAGAUAAAUAUUUGACAUGAAGGAUGUUCCAAUUACUCUGAUUUGAUCAUUACACAUUGUAUACAGGUAUCCAAAUAUCACAGGUACUCCCAAAGUAUGCACAGCUACUACAUAUCAACUUUUAAUAUUACACCUGAAAGCAAUUUCAAGAGAGGCUUCAUUGAGAAGGUAAAAUUUGCGAGGGGAAUUGAAGGAGAGGAAGGAGUUGAUGAGACCAAGACAUGGGAGAGUGUCUCUCAGGAAGAGAAGCAGCCAGGGCAUCCCGGCCAUUUGUGUACCUUCAUUUACGAAGUGUCUGUCCAAACCUUUUGUCCAACUCUUUAAUUGUUGCAUGUGUUAUAUUAUUGGGUUGUAAGAAUUUUAAAUAUAUUCUGGAUAUAACUCUUUAUCAGAUGUAUGUAUUGCAAAUAUUUUCUCCCUGUCUGUGACUUGUCUUUUCAUUUUCUCAACAGGUCUUUUCAAAUGCAGACAUUGUUUAUUUUGAUCAUGUCCAUUUUUGUCUGUUUUAACUUUUAUGCUGGUAGGAUUGUUGUUCUCUGUUAAGAAACCUUUGUCUUCCUCAAGGUAACAAAGUGUCUAGAAGUUUUACAGUUUUGACUUUGUUUAGGCCUGUGGUCCAUCUUAAGUUAAUUUUUCUGUAUUGUCUAAGGUAGGGUUGAAGUUUAUAUCUUUAUGGAUGAAUAGCUAAUUAUUCCAGCACCAUUUGUUUUAAAGUCUUCCCUUUUCCCAAUAAUUUAGCUUGGCCCUUCUUUCAAAAGAAAAUUGAAAAUACAUACAUCAUAUAAAGACUUAUUAUA
RNAcentral lists this long non-coding RNA (1600 nucleotides) under Macaca mulatta (Rhesus monkey). RNAcentral describes it as "lncRNA (ENSMMUG00000063073.1)". Lineage: Eukaryota; Metazoa; Chordata; Mammalia; Primates; Cercopithecidae. The record is from RNAcentral.